Molecule: ribosomal RNA, 468 nt
Filed under: uncultured bacterium
Lineage: Bacteria
Description: partial 16S ribosomal RNA
Rfam family: Bacterial small subunit ribosomal RNA
Source: RNAcentral
GACGAACGCUGGCGGCGUGCUUAACACAUGCAAGUCGAACGGAAAGGCCCUGCUUUUGUGGGGUGCUCGAGUGGCGAACGGGUGAGUAACACGUGAGUAACCUGCCCUUGACUUUGGGAUAACUUCAGGAAACUGGGGCUAAUACCGGAUAGGAGCUCCUGCUGCAUGGUGGGGGUUGGAAAGUUUCGGCGGUUGGGGAUGGACUCGAGGCUUAUCAGCUUGUUGGUGGGGUAGUGGCUUACCAAGGCUUUGACGGGUAGCCGGCCUGAGAGGGGGACCGGCCCCAUUGGGACUGGGAUACGGACCAGACUCCUACGGGAGGCAGCAGUGGGGAAUAUUGCACAAUGGGCGGAAGCCUGAUGCAGCAACGCCGCGUGCGGGAUAACGGCCUUCGGGUUGUAAACCGCUUUCGCCUGUGACGAAGCGUGAGUGACGGUAAUGGGUAAAGAAGCACCGGCUAACUACGUG